GACGAACGCUGGCGGCGUGCUUAACACAUGCAAGUCGAACGGUGAAGCUCCAGCUUGCUGGAGUGGAUCAGUGGCGAACGGGUGAGUAACACGUGAGCAACCUGCCCCUGACUCUGGAAUAAGCGCUGGAAACGGCGUCUAAUACUGGAUACGAGAAGGGUCCGCAUGGGCACUUUCUGGAAAGUUUUUCGGUUGGGGAUGGGCUCGCGGCCUAUCAGCUUGUUGGUGAGGUAAUGGCUCACCAAGGCGACGACGGGUAGCCGGCCUGAGAGGGCGACCGGCCACACUGGGACUGAGACACGGCCCAGACUCCUACGUGAGGCAGCAGUGUGGAAUAUUGCACAAUGGGCGAAAGCCUGAUGCAGCGACGCCGCGUGAGGGAUGACGGCCUUCGGGUUGUAAACCUCUUUCAGCAGGGAAGAAGCGAAAGUGACGGUACCUGCAGAAGAAGCACCGGCUAACUACGUG
RNAcentral lists this ribosomal RNA (468 nucleotides) under uncultured bacterium. Its description in RNAcentral is "partial 16S ribosomal RNA". It matches the Rfam family "Bacterial small subunit ribosomal RNA", at positions 28 to 507 of the family's 1533-position model. The record is from RNAcentral.